This 940-nucleotide long non-coding RNA is filed under the name Sarcophilus harrisii (Tasmanian devil). Its description in RNAcentral is "lncRNA (ENSSHAG00000027253.1)". The record is from RNAcentral. Lineage: Eukaryota; Metazoa; Chordata; Mammalia; Dasyuromorphia; Dasyuridae.
GGCCUUUGGACUCAUGCUUUAUCACUGAUUUAUCAGAGUUCCAAAGUCUUUCAAAGUUGUCUUCUCCAUAAUGUGCUCAUCGCUGUAUAAAUUGUUCUCCUAAUUCUUAUCAUUUUGCACCGUUUCAGAGAGAUCUUCCCACUUUCCUCAUCUUCCAGAAUUCAAAUCUGGCCUCAGAUACUUCUUCGAUGUGCCAACCUGGGAAAAUGAUCUCUCUGCUGAAAACGAGGGAACAAAAAUGACUAACGGAGAGUUGAUAUCUGAGAUAAGAAAAACAGUAGGAAGCCCUCCUUGAUUGAAUUCAAGUCUCCUUAUCUGGAUGAAGUAUAGCUUCAAGUCCUUAGAGAACUGGAGAUGUGAUGGCUGAGCCUGGGGCACAUAUCCAAGAUGUGAUACAAAAUCUUCCAGGACUUCUCAGUACAGACAACCCCUAUCCCUCUCUGCAUGUCCAAGGCCAUCCUGUUUCCCCAGGCCAUCCUGCUUGCAGCAUCCAAUUGGCUGGCAGUGUCCUUUACUGCCUCUCCUAAGAGUCCCGAUUUGGAGGGACACCGGACUGACCGAAGACCCAGUGGCGUGAGUCAGAGCCUUGAAGCUGGUCAAUACAACUAGAAGAAAAAAACGAACCUAAGAAGCUGAGGUCAGGGACAGACAACGACUGCUGAGGGGAUCUCCACUUGGAGACAUUGCCCAUGUCAGGACCUUCAGAAAUGUUUAGAGGAGGUUCAUCUCACAGCCUGAAGUUUGGCCAAAAAGUUGAGGCAGGUGAGUUGGAGAGAGAGAGCUCCUCCCUCUUGGGCCUUCCACCUAACAGUGGCCAGUGAAAAGAGAUUUCACAAGACUGAAGGGUUUUUUGGGAUCCUGGUACAGACCCAAGAGAAGUUUCCACUGGCUUGUCUCUGGGAUUAGAAACUGGCCUCAGGAGAUUUAAAACCACCCAGAG